GUUUGGUUAAGUUAGAAAGGGCGCACGGUGGAUGCCUUGACACUAGGAGUCGAUGAAGGACGGGACUAACGCCGAUAUGCUUCGGGGAGCUGUAAGUAAGCUUUGAUCCGAAGAUUUCCGAAUGGGGAAACCCACUAUACGUAAUGGUAUGGUAUCCUUACCUGAAUACAUAGGGUAUGGAAGACAGACCCAGGGAACUGAAACAUCUAAGUACCUGGAGGAAGAGAAAGCAAAUGCGAUUUCCUGAGUAGCGGCGAGCGAAACGGAACAUAGCCCAAACCAAGAGGCUUGCCUCUUGGGGUUGUAGGACAUUCUAUACGGAGUUACAAAGGAACGAGGUAGACGAAGCGACCUGGAAAGGUCCGUCGUAGAGGGUAACAACCCCGUAGUCGAAACUUCGUUCUCUCUUGAAUGUAUCCUGAGUACGGCGGAACACGUGAAAUUCCGUCGGAAUCUGGGAGGACCAUCUCCCAAGGCUAAAUACUCCCUAGUGAUCGAUAGUGAACCAGUACCGUGAGGGAAAGGUGAAAAGCACCCCGGAAGGGGAGUGAAAGAGAUCCUGAAACCGUGUGCCUACAAAUAGUCAGAGCCCGUUAAUGGGUGAUGGCGUGCCUUUUGUAGAAUGAACCGGCGAGUUACGAUCCCGUGC
Molecule: ribosomal RNA, 649 nt
Filed under: Bacillus cereus
Lineage: Bacteria; Bacillati; Bacillota; Bacilli; Caryophanales; Bacillaceae
Also listed under: 1 other name
Description: partial 23S ribosomal RNA
Rfam family: Bacterial large subunit ribosomal RNA
Source: RNAcentral